Molecule: ribosomal RNA, 505 nt
Filed under: bacterium enrichment culture clone ALO1_GLFRUDD03G7ATG
Lineage: Bacteria
Description: bacterial SSU rRNA
Rfam family: Bacterial small subunit ribosomal RNA
Source: RNAcentral
GAGUUUGAUCGUGGCUCAGAUUGAACGCUGGCGGCAUGCCUUACACAUGCAAGUCGAACGGCAGCACGGGAGCUUGCUCCUGGUGGCGAGUGGCGAACGGGUGAGUAAUGCAUCGGAACGUAUCCUGGAGUGGGGGAUAACGUAGCGAAAGUUACGCUAAUACCGCAUAUUCUGUGAGCAGGAAAGCGGGGGACCUUCGGGCCUCGCGCUCUUGGAGCGGCCGAUGUCGGAUUAGCUAGUUGGUGAGGUAAAGGCUCACCAAGGCGACGAUCCGUAACUGGUCUGAGAGGAUGAUCAGUCACACUGGAACUGAGACACGGUCCAGACUCCUACGGGAGGCAGCAGUGGGGAAUAUUGGACAAUGGGCGAAAGCCUGAUCCAGCCAUGCCGCGUGUGUGAAGAAGGUCUUCGGAUUGUAAAGCACUUUAAGUUGGAGGAAGGGCAGUAAGUUAAUACCUUGCUGUUUUGACGUUACGACAGAAUAAGCACCGGCUAACUCUGUGCC